CACUGAGAAGCUAAACAGGGAUUAGCAUUAGCCUUUUAAGCUAAAGAUUGGUGGCCCCCAACCACCCCCAGUGA
This 74-nucleotide transfer RNA is filed under the name Silurus microdorsalis. RNAcentral describes it as "tRNA-Lys". It matches the Rfam family "tRNA". From Rfam's summary of the family: Transfer RNA (tRNA) molecules are approximately 80 nucleotides in length. Their secondary structure includes four short double-helical elements and three loops (D, anti-codon, and T loops). The record is from RNAcentral. Lineage: Eukaryota; Metazoa; Chordata; Actinopteri; Siluriformes; Siluridae.